UAACGCGUGAGGAACCUGCCUCAAAGAGGGGGACAACAGUUGGAAACGACUGCUAAUACCGCAUAAGCCCACGACCCGGCAUCGGGUAGAGGGAAAAGGAGCAAUCCGCUUUGAGAUGGCCUCGCGUCCGAUUAGCUAGUUGGUGAGGUAAUGGCCCACCAAGGCGACGAUCGGUAGCCGGACUGAGAGGUUGAACGGCCACAUUGGGACUGAGACACGGCCCAGACUCCUACGGGAGGCAGCAGUGGGGAAUAUUGCACAAUGGGGGAAACCCUGGUGCAGCGACGCCGCGUGGAGGAAGAAGGUCUUCGGAUUGUAAACUCCUGUUGUUGAGGAAGAUAAUGACGNUACUCAACAAGGAAGUGACGGCUAACUACGUGCCAGCAGCCGCGGUAAAACGUAGGUCACAAGCGUUGUCCGGAAUUACUGGGUGUAAAGGGAGCGCAGGCGGGAAGACAAGUUGGAAGUGAAAUCCAUGGGCUCAACCCAUGAACUGCUUUCAAAACUGUUUUUCUUGAGUAGUGCAGAGGUAGGCGGAAUUCCCGGUGUAGCGGUGGAAUGCGUAGAUAUCGGGAGGAACACCAGUGGCGAAGGCGGCCUACUGGGCACCAACUGACGCUGAGGCUCGAAAGUGUGGGUAGCAAACAGGAUUAGAUACCCUGGUAGUCCACACUGUAAACGAUGAUUACUAGGUG
This 695-nucleotide ribosomal RNA is filed under the name uncultured bacterium. RNAcentral describes it as "bacterial SSU rRNA". It matches the Rfam family "Bacterial small subunit ribosomal RNA", at positions 111 to 822 of the family's 1533-position model. The record is from RNAcentral.